Molecule: ribosomal RNA, 462 nt
Filed under: Vreelandella stevensii
Lineage: Bacteria; Pseudomonadati; Pseudomonadota; Gammaproteobacteria; Oceanospirillales; Halomonadaceae
Description: partial 16S ribosomal RNA
Rfam family: Bacterial small subunit ribosomal RNA
Source: RNAcentral
CCACGGGGCUGCAGUGGGGAAUAUUGGACAAUGGGCGAAAGCCUGAUCCAGCCAUGCCGCGUGUGUGAAGAAGGCCUUCGGGUUGUAAAGCACUUUCAGUGGGGAAGAAAGCCUUGGGGCUAAUACCCUCGAGGAAGGACAUCACCCACAGAAGAAGCACCGGCUAACUCCGUGCCAGCAGCCGCGGUAAUACGGAGGGUGCGAGCGUUAAUCGGAAUUACUGGGCGUAAAGCGCGCGUAGGCGGUCUGAUAAGCCGGUUGUGAAAGCCCCGGGCUCAACCUGGGAACGGCAUCCGGAACUGUCAGGCUAGAGUGCAGGAUAGGAAGGUAGAAUUCCCGGUGUAGCGGUGAAAUGCGUAGAGAUCGGGAGGAAUACCAGUGGCGAAGGCGGCCUUCUGGACUGACACUGACGCUGAGGUGCGAAAGCGUGGGUAGCAAACAGGAUUAGAUACCCCUGUAGUC